AACCAUUCUCACCUGCGGCUAGACCUGCGGAAGGAUCAUUACCGAGUUUACAACUCCCAAACCCCUGUGAACAUACCACUUGUUGCCUCGGCGGACCAGCCCGCUCCCGGUAAAACGGGACGGCCCGCCAGAGGACCCCUAAACUCUGUUUCUAUAUGUAACUUCUGAGUAAAACCAUAAAUAAAUCAAAACUUUUAACAACGGAUCU
Molecule: unclassified non-coding RNA, 208 nt
Filed under: soil metagenome
Description: partial contains 5.8S ribosomal RNA, internal transcribed spacer 2, and large subunit ribosomal RNA
Source: RNAcentral